ACAUGAUGCGCAGGUAUGGGUCUAGCUCCUGCAUGAGCUCAACAUCUGGGCCUGUCUGAGCUGCACAGCUGAAGAAAGAGACAAGAUGUCUAUAGCCUCACCCACUUGGGGAAUCAGGCAUGGCUGAGAAAGACAUUCGAGUUGUGCAGGUGGUGAUGAUUUGUGCUUUAGAGGAUGGAGGAGGCCUGCAGGGAAGGCGGAGCUGCGGGGAACACUCUCUAGGAGGGAGAGUAACAUGCCUACAAACACCUGGGAAGGUCCAUCAUCCUCCCCUUCCCCUACUCUGAGGAAUCUUCUCACCUUUCAUUAGACUCUAAGUUCCUUGGAGAGUCAGUACUCACGGGUCAGUAUCCAAGAGUGCCAGCUUUGGAAUCAGAUAUAAUCUAGGGAGUACUUUUAGGAUCAACACUUGUGGACGGGAGAAGAUGGAAGCAGGACUGGGUAGAAGAAGAAGCUGGGCUGCAAUGAAGUCCCAUUGAAGACCUCAGCUGACCUUGCAUGGAGCCUGGAUCCCAUCCAGGAUACCUGUUACAUUUACUUGUCAUAUCUCCUCAAGCUUCUCUUGGCUAUGACAGUUUUUUAGACUUUCCUUGAUUUUGAUGACCUUGACAGUUUUGAGGAGUUCUGGGCCCGAUGUUGCAGAAUGCCUCCUUAUUGAAAUUUGUCUGAUGUUUUCCUCAUGAUUAGAUUGGGGUUGUGAGUUUUGGGGGGAAGGUAAUAGAGGAAAAGUGUCAUCUUCAUCACAUCAUAUUAAAGGUACAUAU
Molecule: long non-coding RNA, 764 nt
Filed under: Homo sapiens (human)
Lineage: Eukaryota; Metazoa; Chordata; Mammalia; Primates; Hominidae
Description: HSALNT0263411
Source: RNAcentral